RNAcentral lists this ribosomal RNA (1342 nucleotides) under uncultured organism. RNAcentral describes it as "partial 16S ribosomal RNA". It matches the Rfam family "Bacterial small subunit ribosomal RNA", at positions 93 to 1457 of the family's 1533-position model. The record is from RNAcentral.
CAGCGGCAGACGGGUGAGUAACACGUAGGUAACCUACCCCAGAGACAGGGAUAACCCUAGGAAACGAGGGCUAAUACCGGAUGACCUCCGGAAGGAGGAAAGGCUCAGGCGCUCUGGGAGGGGCUUGCGGCCCAUCAGCUAGUUGGUAGGGUAAAGGCCUACCAAGGCGAAGACGGGUAGGGGGUGUGAGAGCACGGNCCCCCACAAUGGGACUGAAACACGGCCCAUACUCCUACGGGAGGCAGCAGCAGGGAAUAUUGCACAAUAGGCGAAAGCCUGAUGCAGCGACGCCGCGUGAGUGAAGAAGGCCUUCGGGUCGUAAAGCUCUUUUGUAGGGGAAGAGGAAGGACGGUACCCUAAGAAGAAGCGUCGGCUAACUACGUGCCAGCAGCCGCGGUAAGACGUAGGACGCGAGCGUUAUCCGGAAUUACUGGGCGUAAAGGGCCAGCAGGCGGCUUGGUAAGUUGUGCGUGAAAGCCUCGUGCUCAAGGCGAGGAAGCCGGACAAUACUGUCAAGCUAGAGGGCAUCAGAGGGGAGUGGAAUUCCCGGAGUAGCGGUAAAAUGCGCAGAUAUCGGGAGGAACACCGGCGGCGAAGGCGGCUCUCUGGAAUGUUACUGACGCUGAGGCACGAAAGCUGGGGGAGCGAACAGGAUUAGAUACCCUGGUAGUCCCAGCCGUAAACGGUGCGCACUUGGUGUAGGGGCCUUGACCGUCCCUGUGCCGUAGCUAACGCGUUAAGUGCGCCGCCUGGGGAGUACGGCCGCAAGGCUAAAACUCAAAGAAAUUGACGGGGACCCGCACAAGCGGAGGAGCAUGUGGCUUAAUUCGAUGCAACGCGAAGAACCUUACCAGGGCUUGACAUGCAGCUGCACGCCCCGUGAAAGCGGGGAAGCUUUCGAAGGUGCUGCACAGGUGGUGCAUGGCUGUCGUCAGUUCGUGCCGUGAGGUGUUGGGUUAAGUCCCGCAACGAACGCAACCCCUAUGUUUAGUUGCCACCGCAAGUGAUGAGCUUGCGAGCACUCUAGACAGACUGCCCGUACAAGCGGGAGGAAGGUGGGGAUGACGUCAAGUCAGUAUGUCCCUUAUGUCCUGGGCUGCACACGUGCUACAAUGGUCGGUACAAUAGGAAGCAAAGCCGCGAGGCCGAGCAAAUCCCCAAAGCCGGCCCUAGUUCGGAUUGGAGUCUGCAAUUCGACUCCAUGAAGCUGGAUUCGCUAGUAACGGCGCAUCAGCCACGGCGCCGUGAAUACGUUCCCGGGUCUUGUACACACCGCCCGUCACAUCAUGAAAGCCGUCUGCACCCGAAGUCGCUGGACCAACCCGCAAGGGGGGAAGGCGCC